RNAcentral lists this long non-coding RNA (5809 nucleotides) under Equus asinus (donkey). RNAcentral's name for it is "lncRNA (ENSEASG00005020937.2)". Lineage: Eukaryota; Metazoa; Chordata; Mammalia; Perissodactyla; Equidae. The record is from RNAcentral.
UGGGCUGCUCGUGCGGUCCGGGCCUGCCCUGCUCCAGCUCUGAGUGAGCCCACUUAGUCGCAUGCCAGGGGCCUCUGCGGCACGGGCCAGUAGGAGGCCAGAUUAAUCGCUAUGACAAGUGAUCUCCAAACCUCUGUGGCUGAACACAAUAAAAAGUCACUCACGACUUCCAGAAUAAACGACCAUGAGUGUCCUGGUCAGGUAGCUCUCCUGGGCGCUGUCCUCCCAGCAGUGACUCGGGGACCCGGGCUCCUUCCACACUGUGGCUCUGCCAUCACCUCGGGCCUCGGGUUCCUCCGCUGGAUUCUGUCUGUCUACCAGCAGACGAGGGAAGAGUGCUGGGCUCUGAGUGGCCUUUCCUUGGCCCGGGCCUGGCGGUAGAGCCCACGUCUACCACACUCCAUUGGCCAGAAUUCAGACACCAGCUACGAAGAAAGCUGGGAACUACAGUGUCGUUUUGCACCCAGGAAGGAAAGAAGUGGUUUGGCAAACCACCAGCCAGUCUCUCUUGUACGAGGCUCCAGUCUGUGUUUCCAGUCUCAGCUCCUAUGACUUCUUGGCCACCAUCUGCUAAGAGGAUUGUAUGAUUUGUUCACAAUUUUUCUUUCUCUAACCAUCGUUGCGUGGCUCUUCCUGGGCAGGUGUACUUCCCGGCCCUGCUGACUUUGGGACCAGCCAUGUGACUUGCUGUAACCCGUGGAGUAUGGGCAGACGCAGGGUGUGUCUGUGCACUGGGGCGCUUUCACUGUGGCCGUGUGGUUCGGCUUGGCCUCUUGCACGCCUGCGUUGCACCUUGAGAAGGGUAUGUUGCUCCUGUGGCCUGGAUCCUGGCAGGAGAGGCAUGUGAGCAGACCUGAACUGGACCCACAGGCUGGAGCAGAGAUGCUCAGCCAACUUGCAAACCUGUGAGCAGGAAACUAAAGCUUAUGGUUGUAGGCUGCUGCUGCUUUGGGGUUGUUUGUUACACAGCACUCUUGUGUCCUAGCUGAACCGUAUAGCUUACUGCCAUGAUGGAGAGAUGCCCACAUACCCUGAGCCACCCCACUCUCCCACGCUCCAUGAAGACUUGCUUCUGGCCCUCCUUAAAAGCCUUUCUUCUUGAUCCCUCCAGAGGCCAGGCCAGGGGCAGACCCUUCCACAGAGUGUCUCUUACUGUCCCCAGUCCUUGGGCAUUCAGAAGAAGCAGAGGCUACUGGCUCCUCAGUUCAGUUCUUGUCCACAGUUUUCCUGGUCAUCCUGUUUUCCCCACCACCUGGAGAGUGGUGCUUUUGAAGGCAGGAGCCACGCUAAUUCCCUCUUUCCUCUAGCCACUGCUCCUGUGUCCCCCACACAGUUGACAGUCAGACAGUGUUUGCUAAACUGGAUUGAUUUGCAUGUCUGUCCCUGUUAAUGGGAGGUCCGUAGGGCACAUCGAGUGCUGGCAGGCAUCCCUGAGAGUGCCGGCCGUGCUUGGUGCUCAGAUGAUGGGUCUGCCACUGCCUGUGAGGACGAGGGGCUGCGCCGCCUCCUGCGCUCUCGGCUGGAGGCCUAGGCUCAGCACGGGGCCAUCCGUCUCCCUCCCCGAGCCCUUGGUGUCCGAAGCCUGGGUCAGGAGGGAAAGCGGCAACCUCACAUCUUGGCCCGCACAUGCCUUGGGGAAGCCAGUGGACUUCGUCAGCAAUGGCCCCGGCUGCCAGCAUAAUCCGACUGUGGUCCUCAGAGCACCGUCUGCAGCUCGGGUCCUGUCCUGCACUGGAGGGAGAUCGUUUGCAUCAUGAUGCUUGGGGAUGCUCAGUGUUGGUGUCUGUGAGCCAGGUGACAGGGCCAUCUCUGGAGCAGAGAGGCCCCAGGCCCAGAUGGAGCCUUGGGCAGCAAAGGACAGCCCACUGACACGGACCAGCUGAGGCAGGAAAGGGACAAGACACUCGAGAGAGAGUCUCCACAGCAAGUACUGGGUUGAGGGACCCAGCAAGGCCGUGCCGGGCCAAGAUGCUGGACGAGUGAAUUGCCUGUGAGGAGCCACGCCUGGCAAAGACGGAAAAGGAAAAGGCUGUUAUCGACGGAGCAGGAGGGGUCCAGGCUGGAGGCUGGAGGGAAGUCACCACGGGCCCGGACGGUCAAGAUGGCUUCCUCCUUCCAUCUGGCCUUCUCUGCUCCACCUCUCCAAGGUGGGACAUGCUGUGUCAGCCCUGUGUGCUCCCAGGCCCCGCACCAGCAGCCCAGUCCCUGCUCCAGACUCACGGGAGGAUCUGAUUGGCUCGGCCCCUCCCUGGCGUGUGAUCUCCAGUGUGCAGUCAGCUGGGACCAGGGGGCACGUCCCUGCAUCCUGGGCUUUCCCAGGUCCCAUCUCUGCUUUGGCACUGUUCCCAGACAACGUGUGGAGCAGACACCCUAGGAGGGGGCUGCUGCCGGUGCUUGUGGUUGAUGGAACUCUCGAAUGCGGUGUUUCCCCAGCUGAGCCAGGCAGCUUCCCCUUCUGCAUUCUCCACGCCUGCGCACUGACUGCGCCCGUGGAGGAGGGCCCUGCUCCCUGGAUCUCCCCCUGCCAGGGCUGCAGGAGACUCCCCGGAGGUGUGUGGUCGGGGUGGGCUGUGGGAACCCUGAGGCACCCGGCUGAGCUGCGGGCGUCAAGCCUCUGUCUUCCCGGGUUUGCUUCUCCCUCUUUUCCAGUCUAGUUGGAACAUUAGCUGAGUGUCUGCUGUGUGCAACAAGCUCAGGAAAGAGGAUCGGGUGGGACAGAUCAGUGGAGGGGGCAGGUCCCAGCGACGCAGGCAGGGCCGGGCCCACCGCCUCAGUCCCUCCUCCUGGCCUGUGAGGUAGCCCCCCAGGCUGCUUUGCCCCAUACUCCGGGGUGUGGGAAGUUUCCGCGUCAUGGCCCCCCGCAGGACGGCUUCCCUCCCCCUCUCCCUUGCCCCCCAGGGCUUUGUAAGAGUCGCGUGGGACAGUGUGCAUGAAAGCUCUAAUUAAGAGUAAAGGAUUACAUGAGUGUAUUUUUCAGUCAAAACCAUAAAAGAAACCUUCCCUAAGGUUGGCCCAAGUGCUCCUGCUGAUGUGGGAGGAAGCUGGGUCUGGGGGCUGCAUCCUCCUCCCUGGCACGGAGUGUGUGCGAGCUUUUGGGGUGCUGAGGAAGGUGGGCCUUGAGGACCGGGCUGAGAGAGCUGGCUUUGAUCCUGUUGGCAGUGCUGUGUUGACAACAGUCUUCUGGGAGGGGACCAGCCCACGCAGAGCUGGGGUCCCACGUCCUUUCUCGGGGCUCUGAGUCAGUUCUCAGGACACCGUGUGGCGGCUCCCAGUGGGCGUGCCGGUUGUGCAUCCGAGUGUGCCACGGGGCAUAUGCUGCUCUCACGGCCCCUCUCCCCUCCACGGGCCGCAGUCCUGGACACGCUGGGAGAGCUUCUCCUGGCAGCAGGGCGGGGGGCUGUGCAGCCUCCCCCGCCGAGUGGCUUUGCCGCAUCCUUGCACACUCCUCCCCCAGACCCCACGCUUCACACCGCCUCCGCCUCUCGGCACUCCUCCUCUCUUCCUCGUUCAGGGCGCUGGGUUUUGGUGCUUGUUGCCCGCAGUGGCAAAGGGCAAGGAAUGACAGGUACCACCAAGGCUACUUGGCUGUUUAAGCAAUCAAAGUUUAUUGAUAAAGGGAAAAAGAACGAGGAGCAGGAACAAAGGGGAACAACAAAUCGGUACUCACAACAUCCACACCAGAAUCCGCCGGGGAAGUCCCAAUAGUCUGUAUGGCAGGUGGGAUGCCGAUUGUCCGGGUCUGAGGCAGAGCAUCCUCUCCUCAGCGAGACUCCCAAUUGUUCUAUGCUGUGACUCCCUUUUAUCCUGAGGUUCCUCUGGGUUCUGACUCAGGGUUUCAGACAUUUGGAUAAUUUGAGUUAUUUCUUCUUGUUCCCACAGAUGGGAUGCUUCUCUCUUUUUUGUUCCCAUGGAUGGGAUGUUUCUAAAGUCCCAUCAGGUGCCCGUCGGGGUGGCCAGCCUAGACAGGGAACAUGACGCAGGACAUAUUCUUUGUAACUUGUGCCUUACAGUCAGGGCUGAAGUGGCCGUCUUUGGCCCCGAGCCCAGACACAUUCCUUCACGUAGGGCGCAGGCCCAGUGUCCUUGGAAGGCGGGGAGGUCAAUGAACUCUGUAUAGUGCUGGAACCUGGUCUGAGGUCCAUCUCAGGCCCCUGAGUUCUGAGGUCACCUGGACCCCUCCCCAGCAUCGGGACCUCUGGACCUCUGAGAAUCAUCAGAUCGUACUGACAACGGCUGCCCAGAUGCUGGCUCGGUGGAAUCUUGGGUCCACGUCGGCCCCUUGUCUGUGCUGUUAGUCCGCUCCCGCGCCCUCCUGCCAUGGUGAGGACGUGUUCAGAACCCCCGAUCUACUGCAACAGCCAUCAGGGGAUAGAAACGAGGCUUUGCCCCUCAACUAGUCCCCUGACCUCUCACGAGGGACAGCACUGGACCUGGUUACUCACAAUGUCUGUUAACCGUGAAGUCUUUCCUGUGAGGUUGGGAGCUCCUCGAGAGAAGGUGGCAUGUCUUACUCAUGUUCCCGUCCUCAGAACCAAACAUGGUGUCUGUAACUGGUAAGUGUUAAUACAGCAGGGAUGGGUGCCCAGCCCAAGCCAGGCCAGCUUCUUAUGGAGCCAAGGUAGGGAGGGGAAGCUUUCCCUACGGCUGGAGCUGCUCAUCUGGAGGCUGAUGGCCUGGGGCUGCUGGUCGGCCUCUUGCAGCCACACAGAGCGAGCCUUCCUGAGAACGACGUCACUGCGGGAAGCUAUUCACGGGGAGAGGUAGGUUCCCAGUGACGACAUCAGGCACCUGGAUGUCAUUGACUUGAAGCUGAGAUGAGCCUCUCUUUAGGUUCAUAAGCCAAUGUAUUCCCACUUUAGUCUGAGCCAGAUGAACUGGGCCUCUGUUAUUUGCCACCAACAUCCUGACUACUCCAGGGAUCGUCCAUCGGUGCGUUAGCUGAGCAGGCACUCGGCCAGGCCCCGGAGAGGCCAACCCCGCCUCCCACUGCAGUCGCAUUCCUCCCGGCCAGCUCCAGGGCUAGCAGGGCUCGCCCGUUUCCACACUGUCACUCAUGCGGCCCUGGGCCCAGUGCUGCCAUGAAAGAUGGGUCUGGAACUGUCAUCAGAUUGCACAUUGUCCCCUGCGCCUGGUUAUGAAGUCUUUGGCAAAUCAGUUCUUUAUGGCCUUUUAAUCAGGAGGAGAUAAACAGGAGAAGGAGCUCAAAGAAAUUCUUCACAGAAGACUCCAAGCACUGUUCGUCCAGGAGGCCGUGGCUGCCCCCUGUGCAAAGGUUCCGGGAGGCUGGGAGCCCCAGAUCACAGGGGCGAAGGUCUGGGCUCUCAGGGGGCCGAGAAGGAGUGUGUGAGGGGAAGGGAGGAAGAAAACUGAGCAUCUUCGUUCCACGGCUAAGCUGGCCCGGGGUGGGCGGGGAGCGACAUGGGCCUGGGACUGGAGUCUGCAGAGCUGACCCUGGGCCUCCAGCCGCCUCCCUGACACAGUCACUCACGCUGGGCACCUGCUGCCCCCUUGCCAGAGUGGGGCUCUUGGUCCACGGUCGCAGGCCUCCUGCCUCUGAAAGUUUGCAACAGUAAGACUGCUCUCGGGUCCUCAUCGGUGGUGCGGUCUGUGUCGACGUGCGCCCUGACCUGCGGGGAAAUGCGGAAAACAGGCCCGCGUGGUUUUUCAUAAAGCUAUAUUUAUUCAAUUGAAAGGACUUCCUUUUAUUCUGUGAUGGCACCUUUCCCACUCCUCUGGCCUCAGAUAGUCCUUCCUGUGGUGAAAUGAUGGUGAUUAUAAGGAUUUGUUUACUUGGUAAAAUAAAAAGCUU